AGAGCGAACGCUGGCGGCAGGCCUAACACAUGCAAGUCGAGCGCCCCGCAAGGGGAGCGGCAGACGGGAGAGUAACACGUGGGAACGUACCCUUCAGUUCGGAACAACCCAGGGAAACUUGGGCUAAUACCGAAUACGUCCGUAAGGAGAAAGAUUUAUCGCUGAAGGAUCGGCCCGCGUCUGAUUAGCUAGUUGGUGAGGUAACGGCUCACCAAGGCGACGAUCAGUAGCUGGUCUGAGAGGAUGAUCAGCCUCACUGGGACUGAGACACGGCCCAGACUCCUACGGGAGGCAGCAGUGGGAAUAUGGACAAUGGCGCAAGCCUGAUCCAGCCAUGCCGCGUGGGUGAUGAAGGCCCUAGGGUUGUAAAGCCCUUUCGGCGGGAAGAUAAUGACGGUACCGCAGAAGAAGCCCGGACUAACUUCGUGCCAGCAGCCGC
RNAcentral lists this ribosomal RNA (439 nucleotides) under uncultured bacterium. RNAcentral's name for it is "SSU rRNA". It matches the Rfam family "Bacterial small subunit ribosomal RNA", at positions 26 to 518 of the family's 1533-position model. The record is from RNAcentral.